GAAGAUUUAGUUAAAGUAUAACAUUAGAGUGUCAAUCUAAAAUUAUCAUAAUAGAUACUCUUCU
Molecule: transfer RNA, 64 nt
Filed under: Gromphadorhina portentosa (giant Madagascar hissing cockroach)
Lineage: Eukaryota; Metazoa; Arthropoda; Insecta; Blattodea; Blaberidae
Description: tRNA-Asp
Source: RNAcentral